Molecule: ribosomal RNA, 471 nt
Filed under: uncultured bacterium
Lineage: Bacteria
Description: bacterial SSU rRNA
Rfam family: Bacterial small subunit ribosomal RNA
Source: RNAcentral
GAUGAACGCUGGCGGCGUGCUUAACACAUGCAAGUCGAACGAAGAUGCCGGAGUGCUUGCACUUUGGCAGACUGAGUGGCGGGACGGGUGAGUAACGCGUGGGUAACCUGCCUUAUACGAGGGGGAUAACAGUUGGAAACGACUGCUAAUACCGCAUAAGCGCACGGUAUCGCAUGAUACAGUGUGAAAAGGAUUUAUUCGCUUUAGGAUGGACUCGCGUCCAAUUAGCUAGUUGGUGAGGUAACGGCCACCAAGGCGACGAUUGGUAGCCGGACUGAGAGGUUGAACGGCCACAUUGGGACUGAGACACGGCCCAGACUCCUACGGGAGGCAGCAGUGGGGGAUAUUGCACAAUGGGGAAACCCUGAUGCAGCGACGCCGCGGUGGAGGAAGAAGGUUUUCGGAUUGUAAACUCCUGUCGUUAGGACGAUAAUGACGGUACCUAACAAGAAAGCACCGGCUAACUACGUG